Molecule: ribosomal RNA, 253 nt
Filed under: uncultured bacterium
Lineage: Bacteria
Description: partial 16S ribosomal RNA
Rfam family: Bacterial small subunit ribosomal RNA
Source: RNAcentral
UACGGAGGUGGCAAGCGUUGCUCGGAAUCACUGGGCGUAAAGGGCGCGUAGGCGGGGAGGUAAGUCGGGUGUGAAAUCCCUCGGCCCAACCGAGGAACUGCGCCCGAGACUGCUUCUCUUGAGUCCCGGAGAGGAAGAUGGAAUUCCCGGUGUAGCGGUGAAAUGUGUAGAGAUCGGGAGGAACACCGGUGGCGAAGGCGGUCUUCUGGACGGUGACUGACGCUGAGGCGCGAAAGCGUGGGGAGCAAACAGG